AAAAUUCUACCGUCAGUCUUUCUCUGAUCGCCCCGAUGAUUUAAUUUAAGCUACAACUUAACGCACUGUUUGUUCUGUAAUUCCCACGCGAAGUGAAUUUUCUUGGACAAUUCUAAUGCAGUUGAAAGUUGCACAAAUUAUAUAGAAAAUAGAAAAUAUAAAUAUUAUAAACGAGUUUGAAGUCAACAAUAACGAGUUAACGAAAAAUAAAUUAAUAAUUGAAAAAAUAUAUACUAAAUAACCAAUACGAAAUAAAAAUCAGAAAGAAGGAAAUAACGGCAGUGACCAAUAAAUAGAAACGUACGAUAUUUUAAGCAACACAACGUAGGGCAGUGAUUCAUGCCUGUGCUCGAAAUAGCCGAUUAGGAGGAAAAGAAGAUACACUAAAGAAAUUCGCUGGCGCACUUAUAAUAUUAUAUAUACUUUAGAUACUGCCGACCCACAAGUAACAAAACUUUUUCAUACAUACUAUGCGCAUACAAACAUACAGCGAUAUUUAUUAGAUGAAAAGUGCGAAAUUUGUUACCUACCGUGAUUAGCGCAAGAAAACAGAAAAUCAAAAGAAAAACAAAAGUUGAAAAGUAUAGCGAAAAUAAGAAUUUUUAGCAGCCAAACAAAUCUAUUAAACGGAUAAUCGACACAGAACUCACAACCCAACAAACAACGAACGGAAGAUCCGUAGAGUAUUCGAAAACGAUCUGGUGGGCCACAGAUAAAAAAAACAAAAACAACGACUAACGAAGCAUACAAAUAGAACGGUGCAGCGCAGGAAGAAGGCGGCACUACAACUACCAAUAGAUAGAUACAAACGACGUACGCGCACUACACAUUUGCACAUACCUACAAAUUUAUACAACUUUAUGCAUAUGUGUGUGUAAGAUCGAGAACCGAGAACUGCGAACGGAACGAGGCAAAAAUCUAUUUUUAUUUUUUCGUAAUACCCGAAGUUGGGCGCACAAAAAUUUCUAAACACCACGACAAUUAAAUGCAAAAACAAAUAAAGUGCAGAAAUAAAAUAAAUCGAAACGAAAAAGCGUGAUUGAAAGUAUUAAAAUUUUAAGAAAAAUUAUUAAAAAAAACUACAUAAUUUUUAUAUAUAUGUAUAUAUAUUAUAUAUAAACGACGCAUGUGCCUUUAUUAGCAACAGCCUACUAAACUUAAAACAGCAUUCAGAAACAGAAAAAAAAAUAAAAAUACGUAAUACAGCACAGUUCUCAGGCGUGUGGUCACUGUAUACUAAUUAAUGAUAAUUCAAAACAGCUAAAAUAUAAAGUUUAAAAAUACACUUUCAGAACUAUUGCGUUAGAAACCGAUUAUUCGUAUUUCUUCCGGUGCGAUUACGAUCAAAACGAACGAAACUAAAACGAUCUGCGAAUUAUUAAUACAAAAUAAAAAGCAACAAAAAUUCUGAACAUAUACGCUAACGAUCGACAAAAUCGGAGUAAGGAAGAAUUUGAUAAGACAGUCAAUUUCAAAUAAAA
Bactrocera dorsalis (oriental fruit fly) is the source of this 1481-nucleotide long non-coding RNA. RefSeq lists it as uncharacterized. Lineage: Eukaryota; Metazoa; Arthropoda; Insecta; Diptera; Tephritidae. The transcript has 4 exons. The record is from RefSeq and is a predicted model, not a curated record.